Molecule: ribosomal RNA, 482 nt
Filed under: uncultured bacterium
Lineage: Bacteria
Description: partial 16S ribosomal RNA
Rfam family: Bacterial small subunit ribosomal RNA
Source: RNAcentral
ACGCACGCUGGCGGCGUGCUUCACACAUGCAAGUCGCACGCUGAAGCUCAGCUUUUGUUGGGUGGAUGAGUGGCGAACGGGUGAGUAACACGUGAGUAACCUGCCUCCUUCUUUGGGAUAACGCCCGGAAACGGGUGCUAAUACUGGAUAUUCACUGGUCUUCGCAUGGGGGUUGGUGGAAAGGGUUUUUCUGGUGGGGGAUGGGCUCGCGGCCUAUCAGCUUGUUGGUGGGGUGAUGGCCUACCAAGGCUUUGACGGGUAGCCGGCCUGAGAGGGUGACCGGUCACAUUGGGACUGAGAUACGGCCCAGACUCCUACGGGAGGCAGCAGUGGGGAAUAUUGCACAAUGGGCGCAAGCCUGAUGCAGCGACGCCGCGUGAGGGAUGGAGGCCUUCGGGCUGUGAACCUCUUUCGCUCAUGGUCAAGCCGCAACAAUGGUUGUGGUGAGGGUAGUGGGUAAAGAAGCGCCGGCUAACUACGUG